AUUGAACGCUGGCGGCAUGCCUUACACAUGCAAGUCGAACGUGAAAGGGGGGCAACCCCCGAGUAGAGUGGCGGACGGGUGAGUAACACGUGGGUGACCUGCCCUCAGCUCUGGGAUAAGCCUGGGAAACCGGGUCUAAUACUGGAUAUGACUCCAUGACGCAUGUUGUGGGGUGGAAAGCCUUGUGCGGCUGAGGAUGGGCCCGCGGCCUAUCAGCUUGUUGGUGGGGNGAUGGCCUACCAAGGCGACGACGGGUAGCCGGCCCGAGAGGGCGACCGGCCACACUGGGACUGAGACACGGCCCAGACUCCUACGGGAGGCAGCAGUGGGGAAUCUUGCGCAAUGGGCGAAAGCCUGACGCAGCGACGCCACGUGAGGGAUGACGGCC
RNAcentral lists this ribosomal RNA (388 nucleotides) under uncultured bacterium. Its description in RNAcentral is "bacterial SSU rRNA". It matches the Rfam family "Bacterial small subunit ribosomal RNA", at positions 28 to 416 of the family's 1533-position model. The record is from RNAcentral.